GACAGAGGGUACAAACGUUGUUCGGAAUUACUGGGCGUAAAGCGCGUGUAGGCGGCUCUGUAAGUCGGGCGUGAAAUCCCACGGCUCAACCGUGGAAGUGCACCCGAAACUGCGUAGCUAGAGUCCUGGAGAGGAAGGUGGAAUGCUUGGUGUAGAGGUGAAAUUCGUAGAUAUCAAGCGGAACACCGGUGGCGAAGGCGGCCUUCUGGACAGUGACUGACGCUGAGACGCGAAAGCGUGGGGAGCAAACAGG
This 253-nucleotide ribosomal RNA is filed under the name uncultured bacterium. Its description in RNAcentral is "partial 16S ribosomal RNA". It matches the Rfam family "Bacterial small subunit ribosomal RNA", at positions 524 to 776 of the family's 1533-position model. The record is from RNAcentral.